This 782-nucleotide ribosomal RNA is filed under the name uncultured Neocallimastigales. RNAcentral's name for it is "partial large subunit ribosomal RNA". It matches the Rfam family "Eukaryotic large subunit ribosomal RNA", at positions 22 to 642 of the family's 3401-position model. Lineage: Eukaryota; Fungi; Neocallimastigomycota; Neocallimastigomycetes; Neocallimastigales. The record is from RNAcentral.
CAUAGCGACUAUCGUGGCAUAUCAAUAAGCGGAGGAAAAGAAACUAACAAGGAUUCCCUUAGUAACGGCGAGUGAAGCGGGAAGAGCUCAAAUUUGAAAUCUUCAAGGUUCUACCUUGACGAAUUGUAGUUUAUAGAAGUGUUUUCUGUAGUGGAGUUCGGUAAAAGUUCUUUGGAAUAGGACAUCAUAGAGGGUGAGAAUCCCGUAUUUGACCGUUACUUUCCAGGCUGUGUGAUACACUUUCAAAGAGUCGGAUUGUUUGGGAAUGCAGUCCAAAAUGGGUGGUAAAUUUCAUCUAAAGCUAAAUAUUGGCGAGAGACCGAUAGCGAACAAGUACCGUGAGGGAAAGAUGAAAAGAACUUUGAAAAGAGAGUUAAACAGUACGUGAAAUUGUCAAAAGGGAAGCGUUUGACACCAGUGUUGUUUUUCCGAAAAUCAAUUACGAAUGUUUUGUUUCUUAAGGAGUUAUGACUUCAUCGGCUUGCCUUCUCUCUUUACGAAACUUUUGUAAUGCACUUUUCGGUUAACAAGUCAACAUCAAUUUCUUUUGUUGUAAAAGGGUCACUGAGGAAGGUGGCUUUCUUUUCGGAGAAAGUGUUUAUAGCCUUGUGCCUCUGCAAUCGGAGAGAUUGAGGUCUGCAGCGUAGAUCCUUCGGGGUUAGAUACGUUUGUGCUAAGUUAUAGCUUUUCAUAGACAACUUGUUGACUAUGUUUAGUCUUGUAGCUUACUCGCAUGACUGCUAUUUUACCUACGCUUAGGAUGUUGAUAUGCAUGACUGAUA